GACGAACGCUGGCGGCGUGCUUAACACAUGCAAGUCGAACGGAAAGGCCCUGCUUUUGUGGGGUGCUCGAGUGGCGAACGGGUGAGUAACACGUGAGUAACCUGCCCUUGACUUUGUGAUAACUUCAGGAAACUGGGGCUAAUACCGGAUAGGAGCUCCUGCUGCAUGGUGGGGGUUGGAAAGUUUCGGCGGUUGGGGAUGGACUCGCGGCUUAUCCGCUUGUUGGUGGGGUAGUGGCUUACCAAGGCUUUGACGGGUAGCCGGCCUGAGAGGGUGACCGGCAACAUUGGGACUGAGAUACGGCCCAGAAUCCGACGGGAGGCAGCAGUGGGGAAUAUUGCACAAUGGGCGGAAGCGUGAUGCAGCAACGCCGCGUGCGGGAUGACGGCCUUCGAGUUGUAAACCGAUUUCGCCUGUGACGAAGCGUGAGUGACGGUAAUGGGUAAAGAAGCACCGGCUAACUACGUG
This 468-nucleotide ribosomal RNA is filed under the name uncultured bacterium. Its description in RNAcentral is "partial 16S ribosomal RNA". It matches the Rfam family "Bacterial small subunit ribosomal RNA", at positions 28 to 507 of the family's 1533-position model. The record is from RNAcentral.